AGCCUAAGUCCUGCACAAAGGAUAUGGCAAUAUAAGAAUCUCACACUAAUAAAGACGGUCUUCCGACCAGCACUUAUUAGUGUGAGUUUAUACCCGAAAGGGUGUAAGGCAUUCCGAAAGGAUUGUC
This 127-nucleotide small RNA is filed under the name unclassified sequences. RNAcentral describes it as "LOOT RNA". It matches the Rfam family "LOOT RNA". Rfam says of the family: Latescibacteria, OD1/Parcubacteria, OP11, TM7. Lineage (Microgenomates, aka OP11) The record is from Rfam by way of RNAcentral.